This is a long non-coding RNA of Pogoniulus pusillus (Red-fronted tinkerbird), 1638 nucleotides long. RefSeq lists it as uncharacterized. The transcript has 3 exons. The record is from RefSeq and is a predicted model, not a curated record. NCBI's taxonomy places the organism in Eukaryota, Metazoa, Chordata, Aves, Piciformes, Lybiidae.
GCCGCCGCCGCUCGCUCCGCGCUCCCCCUCUGCCGUGCUUGGGAGAAGCUGUGUGCGAGCACGUGGUGUGAGCUUGCAGGCCAUGAGGAGCCUGUCCGUGUCUGCAGGCGUGUGCAAGCAGCUGUAGAAGUCUGUCCCGGUCUGCAGAUGUCUGCAGGGGUCUUCUAAAAGGUCUGGAGGCUUUUCUGAGUCUGCAGAGCUGUGCGGGGGUCUGGAGGGCUCCCUGGAAGUCUCUGGAGUUCUCUGGGUGUCUGGAGGUCGUUAGGGGUUUUUAGAGGUGUCUGUGGUGCUGCAGGUGUCUCAAAAGGCUGUAAAGGUCUUGAAGUGCCUUGCAAAGGUCUCGAGGUGUCUGUAGAGGUCUUUAGAGGUCUGCAGGGGCCUCUUAAAGAUAUGUAGGAGUCUGCAGGGGUCUAUUGACAGGUUGGGUGGGGUCCCUAGAGCUCUCUAGGAGACUGGAGUGGUCUGUAGGUUUCUGUAGGGGUUUACAAGUUUCUGUAGCAUUCAGUAGGUGUCUGGAGGUUUCUGUUAGGGGUCCACAGGUGUGUGCAGGCAUCAUUUAAGGCUCUGGAGGGGUCUAUAGAUGUGUGCAGGGGUCUGUUAAAUAUCUGGAGGGGUCUGAAGGGGACUGGGGAGCUCUGUAGGGGUCUGUAUGUGUUUGCAGGCAGCUGCAGGGGUCCGUAGAUGCCUGUAGGGAUUUGCAGGGGUCUUAGUUGUCUGCAGGGGUGGGUCGAGGUUUUAAAUCGUUGCUGUAAAUAGCAUUUAUGGCUUUAGAAGCCUCCUUGCAAUUAUAAUUUAGAUUGUGGGAAAUUUUAUUUUUUGUUAAAAUAGAAAGUAUUUACCCAUGUUUAUUAAAUUUAUUUUGUAGGAUGUUGUGGGUGUUCUUUUCUCUUUUACAGAGAAUGAAGAUUAUGGAGGGGAAACUGAGGUGACUUCAGAGCAGAGAAGUGAUAUUUUGGAGGAAAAAGCUGAACAGGUCUAUUGGGAAGGAAGCAAAAACUCUGGAGGAAAAAUCUGAGGAUGUUGUGGGUGUUCUUUUCUCUUUUACAGAGAAUGAAGAUUAUGGAGGGGAAACUGAGGUGACUUCAGAGCAGAGAAGUGAUAUUUUGGAGGAAAAAGCUGAACAGGUCUAUUGGGAAGGAAGCAAAAACUCUGGAGGAAAAAUCUGAGGAUGUUGUGGGUGUUCUUUUCUCUUUUACAGAGAAUGAAGAUUAUGGAGGGGAAACUGAGGUGACUUCAGAGCAGAGAAGUGAUAUUUUGGAGGAAAAAGCUGAACAGGUCUAUUGGGAAGGAAGCAAAAACUCUGGAGGAAAAAUCUGAGGUAAACAAGAGGACACAAGUGACAUUUUAUAGGGGAAAAAAGUGAGUUAGUCUCUAGGGGAUAAAAAUGAAGACUGUAGGAGGGAAAAGCUGAGGUGAUUGGGUGGAACAGAGCUGACAUGAUGCAUGAAAAAACUUAGGGUAACCCAUAGGGGAGACCAUGACCAUUUUGGAGAGAAAUCCUGAGGUAGGUGAGGGUAUGUGGGUAACAUAUUAAAAGAGAGACCUAAGGUAGUGUCUGUGAAACAAGAUACUCUUGUGUCACCAGAGUUAUAGUCAGAGGCGAGUCCCUUUGGCCAGAGUACCUUGCUCACCUCCCAU